CUUGACCGAUCCCAGCCACAGCGGUCGCUCCGCGGGCCGGUCACGUCCGUAGGUGGUGAGCAGGGCCUGCGCUUC
This 75-nucleotide antisense RNA is filed under the name Micromonospora rifamycinica. RNAcentral describes it as "ASpks TB sRNA". It matches the Rfam family "ASpks TB sRNA". Lineage: Bacteria; Bacillati; Actinomycetota; Actinomycetes; Micromonosporales; Micromonosporaceae. The record is from RNAcentral.